Oreochromis niloticus (Nile tilapia) is the source of this 2494-nucleotide long non-coding RNA. RefSeq lists it as uncharacterized. The transcript has 5 exons. Lineage: Eukaryota; Metazoa; Chordata; Actinopteri; Cichliformes; Cichlidae. The record is from RefSeq and is a predicted model, not a curated record.
CGAAAACACCGGUCGUUUUGGGCGUACUUUGGCUGGUUUCCGACUUUGAAUUCGAACAGUGUGACUCAGACUUUGAGUCUAGUACAGUCAACAAGGACUUAAGUACAUACAGGUCCGCAGCUUCAGCUUCAAACGGACCAUGGCUAGGCCACACAGACUCAGUGCUUGUUUCGAAUAUUUUAUUAAACUUUUCGGUUUUAUUUGGAACACUUCAUAAUGGAACAAGACGAGUGGGUAAAACAACUGCGCCACGUUAAGGACGAUGGAGAGGGAUUAAUCAUGACAUGUACUGAAGGCAUUUUAAGCGACCAAUGCUCGACCGUGUAACAACUGGGUCCCUUCACGGAUGAUGGCCGGAGAUUAAUGGAGAGAUAGUAAUUGGAACAUGAUGAACUCAGACGACAACAGAGAAAAAACGUAAACACCACAGCUGGACAGAAUGUCAUUCUGACGUGUUGAGCUCCAAACUACAAUAUCAUAGUUGCAGAUUGGAGCAGAGCUGACCUGGGAUCAGAAUAUGUUCUUUUGUACCGGGAUGGAUGUUUUGAUCCAGAAAACCAGCAUCCAUCAUUUAAGAACCGGGUGGAUCUGCAGGACAGACAGAUGAAGGAUGGAGACGUGUCUCUGAUUCUGAAGAAUGUGACGAUUAAUGACACUGGAACAUACGAGUGUCGUGUUGCGAACAGAAGAACAAACCGUGGGAAAAGAGCUGUUUUGAAGAGCAACCCCAUCAGCAUCAUCCACCUGAGUGUUGUUGAUCCUCCAGGUCAGACAGGAGGACACACAGAGGAUGGAGGGAAGGAGGACAGAGUCAGUAGAGGACGUCCUGGUCUGUCAGCUUUUGCUGUGAUUUGUGUUGUGAUAGCUGCUUUUGUGAUCUCUGGAAAAUUGAAAAACACAAAUUCCUCAAUUCCGUCUCCUGAACAACAGGAAGCCUAAAAAAAAAAUGUUUACCAAGGACCCGACACACACACAGAGUGUUUUGCUGUGCUCAGAUUUUUUUAUUUUGUUUUUUUGUUCAGUUCUUUGGGCUAAGGCCCUCUGGCACCAGGAGGCAGCUCCUUCGUCAUCUCCUCCUCUGCACACUCAUGCACCUCGUCCAUCUCUGCCACCACUAUGCAUAUAGGGAGAGGGAGUCAUCAGUCACAGCACACACACCUGUACCACCCCUCCAAUGCAGCAGGGCAGAGACCACACCCCCGCCACAACAAGCUCUUUGCUUUUUUCUUUUUCUUUGUCUGCAGACAAACCAGUUUACUGUAACAGUACAGACAUGUCUGGGCAUUCCCGGAGCGUCAGCUCUCAUACAGGACAUCAGUCUCAGUCAUGUGUAAUGUUUGCUUUUAUUAUUCUUAUUGUUUGUGUUAGUCAAAUCUGACACUGUGAAUAAAUGAAGUUGUGGUUUCUUUCAGAUUCUGUUACUGUUUAAUCUCAGAGGUUAAACUGAGGUCCAGAAGUGUCUGAUGUGAUUUUAGAGCACUCUGUAAGAACAUACGAUCAUGUUACAUCAUUUAUUUAUUGGACACAGAAGCACUGAUUAUUUUUCUCUGCUGUUAUGAAGUGUUAAAGGUGAAAUCACAAUUUUCCACCUUUAAGAUUGUGUGAUCCUCUGAUUACUCUGAAGUGCUGAGCUAAGCUAUGCUGUGGCUUUACUCUGUGAAAGGAAAAGUUCUGUUAGUAUCUGAAGGUAUCCUGUAACUCGAGCUGUCAGAUUCAUGCAGAUAAAUGUUGAGAGUUGAAAGUUGAUUCUUGUCUUCUUGCUGUAAUUGAGCUGAACAACUGUUAAAGAACAAACACACAAAUGGAAACAGUCAUUCAGAGAGAAAUCAGUGAAGACAGUCUGAUGUUUAUCUCUUCAUAUCUGAUAAAAGCUUUUAAAUCAGGCUUCUUAUCAGUUGUUUGUAGAGUUUUCAAUAAUGAAUAAAGAUUUUUACAGUAAGCUAUUUUUUCCUGUGUGACAUAGAUGAGCUCCUAAAGCUCAGUCUAUGCUUGUAGGACAAGAAAGGCAACCACAGUCUGAACCAACCUCGGCUGUAAUUUGUCCAGCCCAUAGUCAACCAUGACCAAUUGGCCAAUCCAACACCUUUCACUGUUUAAAUCGUUACAAAAACAAACAAACAAAAAAACAUCAGCCCAUAAAAUUGGACAAAAACCAGGUAGGCCGAUGGCCAGUCCAGCUAUGGUGCAGCUCAUGAACACUUUGUCACGAGUGCCAAUAAAGAUAAGCUUCUACUGAAAGUCAGAGUUCAGCCUGUUUUCCUCAUAUUUUUACCAAGAUUAUGUUUUCUGAACCCACAGAGAGGAUGGGAAUGAUGUUUGUCUGAUGAUACAAACCUGUAAGCCUGUAAAUAAAUGACUCAGCAAAACACAAACACAACUGGUCAAAAUGUUAAUUUCGUAACAACAUCGUCCUCAGUUAAAGCAGAAAUAAGUUGGAGAAGGAAAGUUCACAUUUUCUCCUCCUGCAGUGUUUCAUUAAAGUUCUUUGCCUUAA